RNAcentral lists this ribosomal RNA (321 nucleotides) under uncultured Chloroflexota bacterium. RNAcentral's name for it is "bacterial SSU rRNA". It matches the Rfam family "Bacterial small subunit ribosomal RNA", at positions 28 to 351 of the family's 1533-position model. Lineage: Bacteria; Bacillati; Chloroflexota. The record is from RNAcentral.
GAUGAACGCUGGCGGCGUGCUUAAUACAUGCAAGUCGAACGAAGGGUUAGCAAUAACUCUUAGUGGCGAACGGGUGAGUAACGCGUUGGUGACCUGCCCCGAAGCGAGGGAUAACAGUUCGAAAGGAUUGCUAAUACCUCAUGUGGUUAUUUGGAUUAGAUGCCUUAUAACUAAACGGAUUUAUUCGCUUCGGGAGGGGCCUGCGUCCCAUCAGCUAGUUGGUAGGGUAAUGGCCUACCAAGGCUAUGACGGGUAGGGGACCUGAGAGGGUGGCCCCCCACAAUGGAACUGAAACACGGUCCAUACACCUACGGGUGGCAG